CUUUGGGAUAACCCUCGGAAACGGGGGCUAAUACCGGAUAUGACUUCUCACCGCAUGGUGGGGGGUGGAAAGUUUUUCGGCUUGGGAUGGGCUCGCGGCCUAUCAGCUUGUUGGUGGGGUGAUGGCCUACCAAGGCGACGACGGGUAGCCGGCCUGAGAGGGCGACCGGCCACACUGGGACUGAGACACGGCCCAGACUCCUACGGGAGGCAGCAGUGGGGAAUAUUGCACAAUGGGCGCAAGCCUGAUGCAGCGACGCCGCGUGAGGGAUAACGGCCUUCGGGUUGUAAACCUCUUUCAGCAGGGACGAAGCGUAAGUGACGGUACCUGCAGAAGAAGCGCCGGCCAACUACGUGCCAGCAGCCGCGGUAAGACGUAGGGCGCGAGCGUUGUCCGGAUUUAUUGGGCGUAAAGAGCUCGUAGGCGGUUUGUCGCGUCGACUGUGAAAACCCGCAGCUCAACUGCGGGCCUGCAGCCGAUACGGGCAGGCUAGAGUUCGGUAGGGGAGACUGGAAUUCCUGGUGUAGCGGUGAAAUGCGCAGAUAUCAGGAGGAACACCGGUGGCGAAGGCGGGUCUCUGGGCCGAUACUGACGCUGAGGAGCGAAAGCGUGGGGAGCGAACAGGAUUAGAUACCCUGGUAGUCCACGCUGUAAACGUUGGGCGC
Molecule: ribosomal RNA, 665 nt
Filed under: uncultured Micromonosporaceae bacterium
Lineage: Bacteria; Bacillati; Actinomycetota; Actinomycetes; Micromonosporales; Micromonosporaceae
Description: bacterial SSU rRNA
Rfam family: Bacterial small subunit ribosomal RNA
Source: RNAcentral